GACGAACGCUGGCGGCGUGCUUAACACAUGCAAGUCGAACGGACAGGCCCUGAUUUUGUGGGGUGCUCGAGUGGCGAACGGGUGAGUAAAACGUGAGUGAACUGCCCUUGACUUUGGGAUAACUUCAGGAAACUGGGGCUAAUACCGGAGAGGAGAUCCUGAAGCACGGGGGUGGUUGGAAAGUUUCGGCGGUUGGGGAUGGAAUCGAGGCUUAUCAGCUUGUUGGUGGGGUAGUGGCUUACCAAGGCUAUGACGGGUAGCCGGCAUGAGAGGGUGACCGGCCACCUUGGGACUGCGAUACGGCCCAGUCGCCUACGGGAGGCAGCAGUGGGGAAUAUUGCACAAUGGGCGGAAGCCUGAUGCAGCAACGCCGCGUGCGUGAUGCCGGCUUUCGGGUUGUAAACCGCUUUCUCCUGUGACGAAGCGUGAGUGACGGUAAUGGGUAAAGAAGCACCGGCUAACUACGUG
This 468-nucleotide ribosomal RNA is filed under the name uncultured bacterium. Its description in RNAcentral is "partial 16S ribosomal RNA". It matches the Rfam family "Bacterial small subunit ribosomal RNA", at positions 28 to 507 of the family's 1533-position model. The record is from RNAcentral.